AUGCCACUCUCCAGUCUACUGCGGGUGUUCGUGGCCUUCAUCUACUCUGGAUCCAUUUUGGCCCAGAGUGUUACUCAAGUCCAGUCAGCUACAUCCAUGCAAGAGGGGGCAGCUGUCACUCUGGACUGUCAAUAUAAAACGAGUUGGAAGCUUUAUUACAUUAUCUGGUACAGACAACUUCCCAGUGGCAAGAUAAUGAUGCUUAUUUUUCAAUAUUCUGAGAAUGUGAAUGCAAAGCAUGGUCGCUUUUCUAUAAACUUCCAGAAAGAAGCUAAAUCUAUCAGCCUCGUCAUUUCAGACUUACAGCUGGAAGAUUCAGCAAGAUACUUCUGUGUGCUCUUGGAACUCACUGUGUUUGAAGUGAUAGUGAAAGCUGAACAAAAACCUCAGGACUCAAUAACAGAGAGCUCCCCACUACAGUGUCAGAGCUGCAAUGCACACCUGCAGAUCCCAGACAAGAAAUGGCAGAGACUGUGGUUGUUUAAUAUGUGGUGUGGUCAGAGGAUUGUAUGCUAA
Non-coding RNA from Orycteropus afer afer, 516 nucleotides. NCBI's taxonomy places the organism in Eukaryota, Metazoa, Chordata, Mammalia, Tubulidentata, Orycteropodidae. The record is from the annotation of a RefSeq genome assembly.